This 386-nucleotide ribosomal RNA is filed under the name uncultured bacterium. RNAcentral's name for it is "bacterial SSU rRNA". It matches the Rfam family "Bacterial small subunit ribosomal RNA", at positions 30 to 418 of the family's 1533-position model. The record is from RNAcentral.
AUUGAACGCUGGCGGCAUGCUUUACACAUGCAAGUCGAACGGACCUAGGGGCUUGCUCCUAGGUUAGUGGCGAACGGGUGAGUAAUGCAUCGGAACGUACCGUGUAGUGGGGGAUAACGCAGCGAAAGUUGUGCUAAUACCGCAUACAAUCUACGGAUGAAAGCAGGGGAUCGCAAGACCUUGUGCUAUACGAGCGGCCGAUGUCGGAUUAGCUAGUUGGUGAGGUAAAGGCUCACCAAGGCGACGAUCCGUAGCGGGUCUGAGAGGAUGAUCCGCCACACUGGGACUGAGACACGGCCCAGACUCCUACGGGAGGCAGCAGUGGGGAAUUUUGGACAAUGGGCGCAAGCCUGAUCCAGCCAUGCCGCGUGAGUGAAGAAGGCCUC